UUUUUCUCUUCACAGGUUUUGAUAAAUCUGCCCCACUUUAUGUAUCUGGGCCUAUUAUGGGCUGCCAACAGCGCCGCACCUUGUCUGCAGGUAACACAUCAGCCACAGUUCUUCUUUAAAGGAAAGUCUUGAUUUACCUUUGAGGAACAGUGUGAAUCAUCUUUAGAAGCUGUUACUAGUGACCGAUUUCCCCUGACAGGGAGUGGACAGAAGAUUGCAAAGAAGUAAUACACCUAGUGGCCAAGACUUUAAAGAUGUAACUACGCCUCCUCAUACCUAUUCAUAAGUCUUCCCUGCACUUAGCUCAAUCCUACUCAGAACCCUCACUCUUGCAAAGUAACACUGCAAGUCCACCAUGCCAAAGAUGUCACUGCGGAAGUGUUGGACGCUUUGUGUAUUAUUGAGUUAGAGGAACGUCAUGAUGUCAUUCGGCCUCGGCUUUAAUCAGAAGUAACAGUCGGAGGGAUGCAGCCGAGCGUGCGCGGAGAUUAUUUACACACCGCGGGAAUGUGCGUCUUAUGUCAGACUUUUACACAACUCUUUACAGCACAUUCCCAAAUUGGUUCCACAAGACGGGAUUCGCACAAGGGACUAUAGUUGUAUAUUUAAUGGGAAACUGUUGUCGGGCCCCUCGAAAAAUCACAGAAAAUCAAAUAAAUACUUUUCACGUGUUUACGUUUCUUUUCAAUCUGAGAUGUUUGAUAAAGAACAGAAUAGGGUCUGAAAUCCUUCCAUGUUCUUCUAUUAGUUAGUAAGGAUGAUAAUGUCAUAUG
Hyla sarda is the source of this 773-nucleotide long non-coding RNA. RefSeq lists it as uncharacterized. The transcript is spliced from 4 exons. Lineage: Eukaryota; Metazoa; Chordata; Amphibia; Anura; Hylidae. The record is from RefSeq and is a predicted model, not a curated record.